This 1456-nucleotide long non-coding RNA is filed under the name Theobroma cacao (cacao). RNAcentral's name for it is "long non-coding RNA (TCAC_LNC003048)". Lineage: Eukaryota; Viridiplantae; Streptophyta; Magnoliopsida; Malvales; Malvaceae. The record is from RNAcentral.
AAGAGAAGAGAAACCAAGGAAGAACAAACCCUAGGUGGGAAAUAUCAAAGAGAAAGUGUUAGAAUUCAAGGAUUUGAUCAAGCAAAGGUAAAAUUUCUUUGAUUUUGCUAGUGAUUUUCCUUACCCAUGCAUUUUUCCUUAAUUUCCAUGGUUGAAAAGCAUGCUUUCAUGGUGAAUUCAUGGCUGGUCAAAAUGGGUAUGGAGAGAGAAUGAUCUUGGAUUGGUUUGAUUUUUAGGUAUAUUAGUGUUUUUAGGUGAUUAAUGAUGUGUAGCAUGAAAACAAGUGAAGCAAACUACCAAAGGUUUGGUGCCCAUCAAUAGCCGAAUUCUCUAAAUGAAUAAUGAGGAAGAAUGGGAUGUUAUUUUAGGUGAUUUGAUUAAGAAAUAAUAGUUUUUGGUGAAUUGAGGAAUUGGAAAAGAAAUGGAGCAAGUUGGAGUGAAAUUGGACGCAUUGGCCAAUUUAUUGAAUGAAAAAUCGACCUAGGCCAUACCGGGUCUAGAUGGCUACUCGUGCAUUUUUCAUUUCAUAUCACGCAUAUAUAUCGAGCCUGAAAUAGCUUAUGACUGUUAGACACAAUUUAAUUGGAAUAUGUGUCAUGGAUUAUGGCUAGGUGGUGAGCCAUUGGAUACGGGUAAAGGAUUGUAUCCGCAGACUGAAAAUAAGAGUAUUUCUACUCCUAAUACUGUCAGUGGACAAUUUAUCGUCUUAAAUAUCUAGAGUAAUUAUACUUGUUUGAUGCUUUUAUUGAAUGGUGAGUUUAAAUUAUAAAAUAUUAUGUUUUUCAAUUAAAAUAAUUUUUUUAAUAAAAAUGAGAUUUAUACUGAUUUUGAAAUCAAAUAUUGUUUUGGGAAAAUUGAGUAUAUGGAGACUGUUUUGAAUUUAUGAUUUUAUAUGUUAUUGAAAUUGUGGCUUAUGACACUAUGGUAGCAUGAUGGCUAAAUUUUUGGGGUUGGCAUGAAAUAUAUGAACAGUUUUGGAUUGGUCUCGAUAGACUGGAUUAAAUUUUAUUGGCCAUAUUAUACUGCUGAAAAUUUUAUGGGUCUGGUGGUAUAUUAAACAAUCACUGCAGUGUUUGGGGUUUCCGUGGACUGCCUAUGAGAGGGGCACGGUAAUCCAAUUAUAUACUUACCUUUGGGGGGAGAUGUUGGAUAAAGUAUCUCUUGAGGUAAGAUUUGAGUGCACCUCAUGUUCGGGCCACCACGUGAGAGUAAGACUCAGCCAAUGCCAAAGGUUCGUAGAAAGUAAGGGUUCGUAGCCCUACACCUUCUUAGUCAGUUGGGGGCCCACAUGUCACUGUAAAUGUAAUUUUAUAUUUCAGUUAUCUGAUUUAAAGUAUGUAUGAACAUAUUAAGCUUUUACACCAUGUUUUUGGCGGGUUUCAAUAUUUUCGAAGAAAAAUGACGAAAAUGCCCUUGUGAGCUAGAAAAUAAUAUUUUAUUGUUUUGAUUUGGAAAC